This 3557-nucleotide long non-coding RNA is filed under the name Salmo salar (Atlantic salmon). RNAcentral's name for it is "lncRNA (ENSSSAG00000112593.1)". The record is from RNAcentral. Lineage: Eukaryota; Metazoa; Chordata; Actinopteri; Salmoniformes; Salmonidae.
AUUUUCCAUGGAUCCCUUGUCCAAAAUUCCUUUCAUCUGUUGUUGCUACGUAGCAAUAUUCAUAAACAUUCAGUUGUAAAAAAUGGCUGCGGACCCCCUGCAGUACAUCCGACCCUUCUUUGGGAACCCCUGGCCUAGCCUACUCUGUCUAGUUGUAGAUGAAGCAGUAGAGUACUGUGUCUCUCCUACAUAUCUGGGAGUCAUAUGCCACCCUGUGGUCGAUGCAGUACACAAGCACGAGGACACGACUACGCAUCAAUGCCUGGAAUGCUACGGAACACCAGAAAUCGUUAGUCAUUCGUCUGUGUGUGCUUGAACGUGAAUUCAACAUUUUGACACAUCGCCAACUUUUGUGAUAUCAGACAGGCAUUUUGAUAUUAAAAAUCAAUGUAUAGAUUAUUCCUAUCAUGCAACAACGGAAGACAUUUAGUCGGAUAGUGAUAUAAUGUAGUAAAACUAAAUUAAUCGCUUUUCACCACUGUCCUACGCAUCAUUAAAUCCUAGUCGAUAUGAUGCGUUACCGGGAGCCAAAGUGGUAGCUAACCUGUCAGCCGAAAAUGUUGGCACUGGAAUCACUACCACUAAACCGAUGUGUAUGACUCAUUCAUACCUGGCAAUGGAGACACGGUGAUUAAGAGGACCGGGCGCGGUUCAGCCAUUGCACUCCGGCUGUGAUGAUCCCUGCACUGUUGAAAUAUCGAUUGCAACAUUUCUGGUAGCUCUGCCCUGAUCUUGCUGUCUAAAAGUACUUGUAUGUAAUUAGUCUGUUGCUGGUGGUCCAAGUUGUGAUUUUGUGAUCUGUUGAGUUUCGUGUUGAGAAAUAGAUUUGUUAGCAUUUACCUUUAGGUUACUUUAGCUUUGCUUCUUCAUCGGAUAAAUGGUUAUAGAAUUUAGCAUCUACUGUAUUUCAAAGCGAACUAAGCCCACUAACUUUUAUUUUAUAUAUUUCGAAUACCCCGAUUGUUGGCGAAUAUGUGCUGAUAAUUUAUUGGCCUAAUAGGCCUACAUUUGAAUGGAUUGUUUUGCGUCCUCAGACAUAAUCGGUUUUAUUUGCUAGAUAAUAAAGUAUUUAUAAGUUUGUAAUUCAAGACCACGAUAAAUAAUAGAUUACUGCUCAUUGUAACAUAAAUACAUUACACAUUUGUGUGCUGCUAUACGGUUAGUUCAAUAAAAACAUUAUUGAAUGACUUUCAGGGAAUCACAUUAACUUGAAAAGUGCGCCUAAAGUUGAAUUGUCCAGCAUCACAUCGAAAUAUAUUGGUCUGGUACACAGUUUAGCAGAUGUUAUAGCUUGUGUUACUAACAGUGCCGCAAAAAUGUCAAACAAGUACACAAAUAAUAAUAAAAAACUAAGAACAAGAAAUCACUAAUGUCAGAAUCCAAUGAACAACCCAAUAACACUAUCAUCUAUGCCUACAUACACGAACAAUAUAUACUUUUUCGUGUAUUUUUAUGUACAGCAGUAUAUAUAUAUAUAUACAGCGAGCUAUGUUGAGCAUCCAGUGCAUAAAUAAACAGUGUAACAAAAUGCAAUGUACAGUAGUAGAUAUAGUAGAAUGAGCUCUGUGAAUAAUGCAGUAUGAAUACACUGUGUGAAAACAGUAUAAAAUAAAUGAUCCAGUGUUUCUUAUUUUUCCUUUAUUUAACUAGGCAUGUCAGUUAAGAACAAAUUCUUAUUUUCCUAGGCCUAGGAACAGUGGGUUGUUCAGGAGCAGAACGACAGAUUUGUACCUUGUAAGCUCAGGGAUUCGAACUUGCAACCUUUCGGUUACUAGCCCAACGCUCUAACCACUAGGCGUGCUGCCCCGCCUAUAUAAGGUCCCACAGUCGACAGUGCAUGUCAGAGCAAAAACCAAGCCAUGAGGUCAAAGGAAUUGUCCGUAGAGCACCGAGACAGGAUUGUGUUGAGACACUGAUCUGGGGAAGGGUACCAAAAAAUGUCUGCAGCAUUGAAGGUCCCCAAGAACACAGUGGCCGCCAUCAUUCUUAAAUGGAAGAAGUUUGGAACCACCAAGACUUUUCCACCAAGACCUUUCCGCCCGGCCAAACUGAGCAAUCGGGGGAGAAGGGCCUUGGUCCGGGAGGUGACCAAGAACCCAAUAGUCACUCUGACAGAGCUCCAGAGUUCCUCUGUGGAGAUGGGAGAACCUUCCAGAAGGACAACCAUUGGUACUGAAUUGCGUGAGGACGUCCGUCGGGAGCUAGUGGGGAGCUAGCCUGUAGAGAUACCACCCUCACCUUGGACCCGCUGGUGGACAUGUCCAUUCGGCUGGACAACUUGCUGGUUACCCGAGGACGUCCGCAUUGGGCUCUGUCAGUUUCAUCCCCCAGCACCUCCGCUCCGACGCCCAUGGAGCUGGGAGGUGCUGCAGCGAGGGCGACCGGAGGAGGAGCCCUUUCCUGCACCAGAUGUGGUCAUAGAGGGCACACUGCUGACCGGUGCUGGAGGAGCUCUUCUGGGAGUCGAGAUGACUGUUCGGUCACCCCAGACGACAAGGAGGGAGCAACGGUAACAGUGGCUUGACCGUGGAUGGCGCUGUCUCACUGGUCCAGCGGACAAGGCCGGAUACGCUGGAAGGGAAAAUGGAAAGAUCCAGCACCAGUCCCAACACCAAUCCAGAUCCCGGUUUCUAGCACCAGUCCCAGCACCAGGCCACCAGACUACCUGCAGACAAGGAACCAAAUCUUCACCCAGAGCGAGCAGGCCACAGGGUAGUACUACCAUUGAACUUUGGGUCUAGGGCUCCCUUGUGUGUUGGUUUGCUCCUCAGGUUGUCCUUCAUCCCCUCCACAGAUCCAGAUCGCGACCCAGCACCUGCAGCAGCCCCAGUUUCCGGUUCCUGGUUCCCGGUUCCCCAUUCAUGUUUUCCCGGUCCCCAGUCCCAGCAAAAGACCCAGCACCAACCCCUGGUCUCCAGUCCUGGGCCCAGAUUCCCAAAACCUUCUUAAAAAGAAGGAUCUGACCCUUUUUUCAAUUUUCUCCAAAAAUGGCAUACACAAAUCUAACUGCCUGUAGCUCAGGACCUGAAGCAAGGAUAUGCAUAUUCUUGAUAUCAUUUGAAAGGAAACACUUUGAAAUUUGUGGAAAUGUGAAAUUAAUUUAGGAAAAUACAACUCAUUUGAUCUGGUAAAAGAUAAUACAAACAAAUAAGCACGCACAUUUAUUUUAGCACAUUCACUAAUUUGUUUGUUAACAAUUAGCAAGCUAGUUUGCUACCACAUGUUCAUAUAAAAUCAGAUUUGACCAUUCAGACACAAGUCUGGCCACGAAUCAUAUUUGUAUCCGACUUCAAACUACCUAUGAAGGUGAUUUGAAAUGUGGUUUGAAAUAUUUGAUUCCAUGUGCUUUUUGGCUGUAAAAAAAAGGACAUAUUUGAAUCGGAUAUGCAAAUAAACAGGAUUUGAGUCACGUCAAACUGCCAAUGUGAACAUGGCUGUAAUAUUUUGUACAUCGGUGUAAGGUGUAGCACCUUAAUGCAUCUCAACUACAGGUUUCACAUAGGCUUUUAGUAAAGUCACAUACUUCUCUAAGUCUCUUUAAUGUAUCAAAAAUGUCA